AUAAUGAAAAUAUUUAUUUAUCAAUAGAUUAAGAAAGAACUAUUGUUAUAUUCUUGAAUCGUAUUAUUCAUACUAUUUUACAUAAAGAAUAUGCUUCAUUUAUUUUCAUCUUUAGUUUCUAAUAUAUAUAAACAUUUUAACCCUGCCAAAAUGUUUGAUUUGACAAUAAGCAAUUUAAAAUAACGUGGGAUAAAAAAAUCAAAUUUUUUUAAGAACUCAUAAAAUGUACUUUAUGAUUAAAAAAAUGAAUACGCCUACAAUUUUUUUUAAUCUUUCUAUAUAAACAAUCGCAUUGAAGUAUUUUAUACAGUGAUGUCUACUUACAUUAUUAAAUUUCAAUCUGUACUGAUGGAGGUUAUUACGCUGGAUCCCUACUACGUUGAGUUUUUAAAAUUGUAUCUAAUUUUAUAAAUUAUUAAAAUAUUUCUAUGGAAAAGAUGAGAACUGUCUAUUAUAAUGAAUACACAGAACCAGUCUAUAUUACUAUAGUCUAGAUAUAUAGACUACAAAAAUAUCGCUCAGUUUACAAUAGUAUAUUUAUGGUCGACACAAUUAUCAAAAAAAAAAAAAAAACAGUACAAGUUGGGGACCGGUAUAAUGGAGUCCGGAAAAGAGAGAACCGCCAUUUAUUAUAGCCACGAUUAUAAUUGCGAUUUCAGCUUUGGAUCUAAACUAAAAUGAAUAAUAAAUAUAGUUCAAUGUUCAAAAAGUUCUAUUGCAAAAAUUAUACAUUAAGUUUUUAUUUAUAUAAUUAUUAUGUUUAAUUAUGAAAUUUAAAAUUUAAUGAAUUUUA
Long non-coding RNA from Daktulosphaira vitifoliae (grape phylloxera), 793 nucleotides. RefSeq lists it as uncharacterized. The record is from RefSeq and is a predicted model, not a curated record. NCBI's taxonomy places the organism in Eukaryota, Metazoa, Arthropoda, Insecta, Hemiptera, Phylloxeridae. The transcript is spliced from 3 exons.